Long non-coding RNA from Dreissena polymorpha, 2170 nucleotides. RefSeq lists it as uncharacterized. The record is from RefSeq and is a predicted model, not a curated record. The transcript has 3 exons. NCBI's taxonomy places the organism in Eukaryota, Metazoa, Mollusca, Bivalvia, Myida, Dreissenidae.
AUGCUGAUUUAUUUUGAAUUGAAGCAGAUAGCAAUAUUUUGUCUUGUUACUCUGAUUUUCCAAAGAUAUGUUGAGUACUAUUUCACAUGACGUAAGCGGAAAAAAAUCAAUAAUAAAUUUUGAUAUUACUACACAAGGAGCGGCACCAUCGACUACUGGAGUUACGGCCUCAUUUCCUUCACGAGCACGAACAUCUACCUCCUGAUCUUCGUCUCCAUCAGCAUCUCCAUCUUCAUCAUCACGAGCAUUAUCCGCCACCGCCAUCAGAGGAACAAGGAUCAGCAGAAAGAGACAGAGUAUCUACGAUACUUCUACUCCGUAAUGCCACACAGUCAGAUCUACGGCAACUUGAGCAAGUUGUUCGAAAACGAGGAAAAGAGCAUACCUAACAAGACGAGAAAUAGAAUGCUAAUGGAAAGACAGCAGCAAAGUUUUGCGAGCAGAAUUAUGCAUGCUAUGUAUAAGAGGUAUCCGUACAACCCUUACGUGGUAAGAGAAAUGGAAGAUGAGGAGAUGGACGAAGUUGAAAUGGAAACAGUAUUUGAGGAGAUGGACGAAGUUGAAAUGGAAACAGUAUUUGAACUCGAUGAUGAGCUUGCUAAAACCAGAAGUAAUUCGGAACUGCAAGUUCCAGAGAGGAAGAAGACUGUGCAGUGGUGCAAAUACAGCUUUCAGAACAUGUCAACUCCUAUCUAACAGGGCCAUAAAGUGGAUUCUAUUUGGUGGAUAAUGACGGGAUAAACUUUUCAAUUUAUUAAAGGAAUAGUGGUCUUCUGUUAAUAAAUGUGCUGCAAGAGCUGGUUUUACAACUGAGAGAUUUGCAUGUGAAUGUAUUAUAAUUCACUUGAAACAAUCUAUGCAAAGUGUAUUUGGGCUUUUUAAUAAUAUUUGACAUUGUUUAUAUUGUAAAUACUUUCUCAACGAAUUAAUUAUGCACAUUUAGAUAAAACCAACAAUAUACUGAAUUUGGUGUAGUGACUGAAAGCCAAACACAGUCUUGGUAGCAUUAUUGAUGUUGUCUGUGUGAAAGCUCACCUUUUACACAACAAAACAUACACACAGAAGUUCUUGCUUCAAAGCCAUAUGUUUUUCUUCCAAAUUUAUUUCAUUCUAUUUUUUUCAUAAAUUGCAAAUUUGAUGAACACGUAUCUUAAAUUGAUAACAUACUGAAUGUAUUACAAUCUAGCAAAUCCAUACUUUCUGCUAAUUUAUAAAACUGCUAUGAAGCAUUUUAAUACAGGGGUAUUUCUGCUAUGUAAAAAAGGCCAUAAAACAGACCCGAUCCCAAAGCAAACAGACCCUAUCCCAAACCGAAAUUUAAAAAAAUGCCCAAUUUCCACAUUUAAAAAAAAAGAGUAUCUUAUGAGUUAUGAUUAUUAGACUCUAUAUCUCAAUUUUAUUUUUUAAACAACCAACAAAAUAUACAGCCAUAAUUUAUCAGAUUUGUAUCCAAAAUGGCCAGGAAAAGACCUGUUGUGUCAAUAUUUGUUGAUAAAAUAAUCCCAAUUUGGUCCUUAAUGUCGAUAAAAACUUCCCAAAUUUGCCACUUUUGUCGAUUAAAAAAUCCCAAUUUGACCAGACUCCUUUUCCCGAAAUGGCUGGAAAAAAACCUGUAAUAAAACAAUAAUCAGACAUUGUCUCCACCUGAUCUUGCAUCAUUUUGUUGUUACUGGCACAAAGUAUGGAGCAAAAGAUGCACAUUUUCAUUCUGAAAAGCAUUCAAGCCUCACUCUACGAAAAGGGGGUUUGAUGCAUGUGCGUAAAAUGUCUUCCCAGAUUAGCCUGUGCAGUCUGCACAGGCUUAUCAGGAACGACACUUUCCGCUUUUAUGAUAUUUUUCGUUUAAAGAAAGUCCCUUCUUAGCAAAAAUCCAGUUAAGGCGGAAAGUGUUGUCACUAAAUAAGGUUGUGUGGACUGCACAGGCUAAUCUGGGAUGACACUUUACGCAUAUGCUUUAAAGCCCCUGUUCACAGAGUGCAGCUCAUUUAUAUUGGUUCAUUUAUAUUACUUGCAUCUUAUUGUAAGCAAUGAAGUUCCACACUGUUUAAUGCCCACAUUAUGCAACAACAAUAAAGCACCAUUUCAUUCAGAAGCCAGUUCAUGUGAUGCUUCAUAGUUUUUACUUGCUUUUAACCCUUUACCACUUUGAUAGGUAUUUUGAUGCACUUGU